ACGUAGGGAGCGAGCGUUGUCCGGAUUUACUGGGUGUAAAGGGUGCGUAGGCGGCCGAGCAAGUCAGUUGUGAAAACUAUGGGCUUAACCCAUAACGUGCAAUUGAAACUGUCCGGCUUGAGUGAAGUAGAGGUAGGCGGAAUUCCCGGUGUAGCGGUGAAAUGCGUAGAGAUCGGGAGGAACACCAGUGGCGAAGGCGGCCUACUGGGCUUUAACUGACGCUGAGGCACGAAAGCAUGGGUAGCAAACAG
RNAcentral lists this ribosomal RNA (251 nucleotides) under uncultured bacterium. Its description in RNAcentral is "partial 16S ribosomal RNA". It matches the Rfam family "Bacterial small subunit ribosomal RNA", at positions 525 to 775 of the family's 1533-position model. The record is from RNAcentral.